AUUGAACGCUGGCGGCAGGCCUAACACAUGCAAGUCGAACGCGUGGCGGCCGGGUGAGUAAUGUCUGGGAAACUGCCCGAUGGAGGGGGAUAACUACUGGAAACGGUAGCUAAUACCACAUACCAUCGGAUGUGCCCAGAUGGGAUUAGCUCGUAGGUGGGGUAACGGCUCACCUAGGCGACGAUCCCUAGCUGGUCUGAGAGGAUGUCCAGCCACACUGGAACUGAGACACGGUCCAGACUCCUACGGGAGGCAGCAGUGGGGAAUAUUGCACAAUGGGCGCAAGCCUGAUGCAGACAUGCCGCGUGUAUGAAGAAGGCCUUCGGGUUGUAAAGUACUUUCAGCGAGGAGGCGUUACUCGCAGAAGAAGCACCGGCUAACUCCGUGCCAGCAGCCGCGGUAAUAC
This 406-nucleotide ribosomal RNA is filed under the name uncultured bacterium. RNAcentral describes it as "partial 16S ribosomal RNA". It matches the Rfam family "Bacterial small subunit ribosomal RNA", at positions 30 to 526 of the family's 1533-position model. The record is from RNAcentral.